This 497-nucleotide ribosomal RNA is filed under the name uncultured bacterium. RNAcentral describes it as "partial 16S ribosomal RNA". It matches the Rfam family "Bacterial small subunit ribosomal RNA", at positions 28 to 507 of the family's 1533-position model. The record is from RNAcentral.
GAUGAACGCUGGCGGCGUGCCUAAUACAUGCAAGUCGAGCGAACAGACGAGGCGCUUGCUCCUCUGACGUUAGCGGCGGACGGGUGAGUAACACGUGGAUAACCUACCUAUAAGACUGGGAUAACUUCGGGAAACCGGAGCUAAUACCGGAUAAUAUAUUGAACCGCAUGGUUCAAUAGUGAAAGACGGCUUUUCUGUCACUUAUAGAUGGAUCCCCGCCGCAUUAGCUGGUUGGUAAGGUAACGGCUUACCAAGGCAACGAUGCGUAGCCGACGUGAGGGAGGGAUAGCCCGCCCGGGAGCUGGGACGCGGACCAGGCUCCUGAGGGAGGGAGCAGUAGGGAAUGGGACGCAGUGGGCGAAAGCCUGACAGAGCGAGGGCGAGUGAGUGAUGGAGGUGUUCGGAUCGGAAUAAUCUGUUAUUAGGGAAGAACAAAUGUGUAAGUAACUAUGCACGUCUUGACGGUACCUGAUCAGAAAGCCACGGCUAACUACGUG